RNAcentral lists this long non-coding RNA (4384 nucleotides) under Homo sapiens (human). Its description in RNAcentral is "HSALNT0233428". The record is from RNAcentral. Lineage: Eukaryota; Metazoa; Chordata; Mammalia; Primates; Hominidae.
CCCCCACCUUCUCUUCUCCUCCCAGCUUCUCUAUCAAGGAAUGAUGUACUCAGACUGUGAAUAAAUGCGAGUGACCCCCAUCUGCCCACCCCCACUUCCCAGAGCCUUCUGCUGGAGAAGGGGGUGGGGGAGGGAGGACAGAGAGAGAGGGAGAGAGAGAGCGAGAGAGGGAGAGAGAGAGAGAGAGAGAGAGAGACAGAGGGAGAGAGGCAGAGGGAGAAAGGUACAAGAGAGAGAAGGGAAGAGAGAGAGGGAGAUAGAGCGAAAAAGGAGGGUCCCCGACUUCCUCACAGACCUCGGAAUGGGAAGGACUGAGUUUCAUCUUCAGCCCGUUGGUGGUCAUAUUUUCCUGCGGUGGCUGACACACUCAGGAGGCGUGGGAUAGAAGGUGACAGCUUCUGCUACUCGGUGUCCCUGCAGUUGCCAGCCUCCCAGGGACUCUGCUCACCUAGGAAGCCCACUGAAUAACAGGUUUUUUCAAGAGAGAAAGAAAGAAAACAGAUCCCCUAUAAAUGAGGACAACUUUGACUCGUAAACAGUUCAUGCGCUCAGAGAGGAAAGGCACCUGGUACUUUCUAAAGGAAAGCACCUCCAAAUACCAGCACCAUGUGGUGGGAGGGCAAUGCUUUGCCUUAUCAAAUGGUACUGAAGCUUGAGGUCUGUUUCUACCACCACGCCUGGAGUAACUGUCAGGGCCUCUUAUUUCUCAUAGCCAAAGCAGAUGGGGGACAAGUCGAUUAAACACAGAAAGCUGCAGUGCUGUUAUUAAGCAGUAUCAGCACGGCAAUGACGGCUGGAGGGACCACGGUGAAGGGCGAAACCUAAACCUCCAAGGAUGGGCUCUGCAUUCACCUAAAGCCCCUCCCCCCACACGCACAUACACAGAAGAAAAUGACUCUUUUUUUUUUUUUUUUUUUUUUUGAGACAGUCUCACUCUGUUGUGCAGGCUAGAGUUCAGUGGCACCAUGUCGGCUCACUACAACCUCUGCCACCUGGGUUCAGGUGAUUCUCCUGCCUCAGCCUCCUGAGUAGCUGGGAUUACAGGCACCUGCCACCAUGCCCAGCUCACUUUUUUUUAUUUUUAGUAGAGACAGGGUUUCACCAUGGUGGCCAGGCUGGUUUUGAACUCCUGACCUCAAGUGAUCUGCCCGCCUCAGCCUCCCAAAGUGCUAGGAUUACAGGCAUGAGCCACCUCCUCCUCUCCCUUCUCUGCUCCUUAAGCACUCCUCUUUUUGUGUGUGUGUGUGUGUGUGUAGAGACAGAGCCUCACUCUGUCACCUAGCUGGAGUGCAGUGGUGCUAUCACGGCUCACUGCAGCUUUGAACUCCGGGGCUCAAGCUAUCCUCCCACCUCAGCCUCCCAAGUAGCUAAGACUACAGACACAUACCACCAUGCCCAGCUGAUUUUUUUUAUUUUUGUAGAGGCAGGGCCUCACUAUGUUUCCCAGGCUGGUCUCAAACUCCUGGCUUCAAGUGAUCUUCCUGCCUCGGCCUCCCAAAGUUUUGGGAUUACGAUCAUGAGCCACCACACCCCGUCUCCCAGCAAUUUCCAAGUACAAGUCAAGGGUUCCAUUGGCAGCUCACUGAAAGACACUGCGUUUAGGUGAUGGCAUUAGCUGUGCAACACUGGGCUUUGAUGAAAGCACCCUCUUUCAGAUCUUCUCUCAGGCCUGUUCAUCCCUUCCAAGUUCAGCUUAGAAGAUACUGGGCCACCUAAUGAGUUGUCAGAAGAGCGAACAAUGGAAAUGAAGGUGCACAUCCCUCUCUCGGGUCCGGUUGCUGCAUCUGAUAUAAGCCACUGUCUCUGAUGGGUAUCUGCCCUUUCACACACGCUUCCUUGCUGGCCAGUGCAAAUGUUCUAUAUUUGAGUCAAACAUAGAAGACGACACGGCAGAACUUCUUGGAAUAAAGAGGUCUUUGGCGGACUCUGGCUCUACCCUGUCUCUCUCUCUCUGCCACCGUCCCCUCCCUGGUAAGGGAGGUAGGGACAGUGGGAAAAUCAUUAAGCAGCAGCAUCUGGACCUGAUUAAUUAACUAGCUGGAGCAUCUGCAAACGUGUCAGGCCUGAGCCUAGGACAAAGUCCUGUGAGCAGGUUUGUGUUCAGGAAGGGAACCGGCUGUUACAUUUUAUAAGACAAAUAUUAUCUGUUCUUCUUCCAGGAUGCUUGUUAUUAAAAGCUGGAUUUAAUAGAAGAAUUAAAAGGGCUUGUUUCACUUGACAUUUCAUCCACUAAAGACCUGAGGGGGGAAAAAAAACCCCAGUGCCUGAUGAUCGGGAGCUUGUCUGUCAAGUUCCUUCUCUGUUUUGCUUUCAUUGUUUUCCAUUGACUGGUUUUUGCACCAAAUGUUAAAGUCAUAAGAUGCUGAAGAUUUCCCAGUUACAGGAAUCUUUUCAAGGACUAUUUCAGAGACCGCAAUGUGCAAGAGAUGCUCAUUGCUAAGUAAAUAUCACACUAAAAAUCCAGAUCUUCCUCCUUCCGCCGCUGACAUACAGGUAGUGGAGGAAGCAAAAAAGGACCCAUUCUCAGGCCCAUUUGUGUUCGGACUGGCUACCGGCUCCCUUCAGAAGUCGACGCCAUUUUAUCCUAAAGACACUGUCAGGGCUGACUUUUAAAUGCUCUUUUGAUGUCAAGAUUCACACGGAUUUGAUGAUCGUUUUCUACACUUAGGGCCCUGUCGCUCUUCUCUUAUAUUACCCCAUCAAGUUGGUACUUCAUAAAGCCUGAAUCAUCAUUACUAUCAUCUUAAUUGCUAGGCGGGUUUGGGUGUAAAUCCAGGUCUGGAGGAUAAAAUCCCUGGGGAAUUCCCAGGUGCGAAGGGAGUGGCCCAGACUGGGGAUUCAGCAGCAGGCUGUGAACUACCUGAUCAAUAAAUAGCACGUGGACUACACGAGUACUAUCUGUGAUUUAAAGAUAAGAUCUCCAUAAUCAGGAGAUGGGAAGGGGAUACAGCUGUGUUCUGGUUCAGAGCCUCCGAAAUCUCACUUGUGUGAGUCGCUGCUACUUAAUAGCACCUCAGGUCAAAGACAGGCCGAGUUAAAACACUCUGUGAGACUAGGAGGUGGUAUUCUGUUCCUUAUUUAAAAGACAGAGACCUUGGAAGAUUUAGCCAAAUAGGCAAAAAAGUAUGAGAUUAGUGAAAGGGAACAAACAUAAUCUAAAUUGAUCCCUAAUUAGGGCCACCACAUAACAUACAGGAAGUAUUAUAUAAAGAAAUAAUAUGUUAAAAUAUUCAGUAAAAAGAUGUUCUGUAUUUGGGACAAGCUUCUACUGAAAAGAAAUUAUUUGUUGAUUAUCUGAAAUACAAACCUAACUGGGUGUUCUGCAUUUUUAUUUGCUAAAUCUGACAGUGCUGCACCAGAUUUGAACCAGUAUGAUUUUCAGAGACAGGAGACUGAAAUUCUAGAAUUUUCCACUGACAGUGGACAUUAGGCAGGUAACGUUUUAAGUUUCCAUCCGUGUGCAGAUGGGAACUAUGCAUUAAGGUCAUUCUGCAUGAAAUAUCUGCAUUUAUGAAUUUUUUAAAAAAAUAUUGUUUUACCACUUUUACUGCAUAUACAAUUAUCUAAAUCUCCAAAAAUGAAAGAACCAUUUCUAAGUAGAAGGCCUUAGAAAAGAUAUGCAGAUAACAAGAGUUAAAUACUUACAUAUCAAAUUUAAUUAGCUCAAACCCUUAAAAACAGUUUAAUUACUUUUGCUUUAAAAUGCUCCACCAUAUUUUGCCACAGUCCAAAUUUAGAAAAUUAGUGGAAAGGUAACAGACACCUAAACUUUCUCUUAACAAGUCAACUUAUCAUAAAUUUGGAAUUUUUCAAGUUCAAAAUAACUAGGGUUUAUUAUUCUUAUACUUUACUGAAGACAACUAACUCUCUCCCAGUGAUUUCUUUCUCUUUUCCCUUCUGAUUACAACAAAAAUCCAGCUACCUAAAAUAGGCUUAUUCCUCAAAAGGAAACAAAACUGCCGAGUUCUAUGACAAUAAUACUAAUCAAAAGUCCAUUUUAAUUGUUCCGGGCCCUCAUAGUGUAUUUGAUCUGUCUCUGUGGGCAUCAGGAUGACUGGGCUAAGCUGUGGGGGCCUCCUCUCCACUCUGGAGCAGUUUUGCAUUUCAACUUUGAAAAAUGAAAAACCUGAAUGCACCUAGGUUCCUAACUUGGGAAGAAAGUGCUGAAAUAGAUUUUGUUUAAAAUAAAAGAGCUCUAAAAAUCUACAGAGUAACUCUUUUGAGACAAGCGAAUACAUGUUUUAGCAUCCAAGUGGGAUAUAGUCAUUAACAUCCUCCUUCAAAGACAGUCUAGUCAAUGUAUCUGCUGCAGCAAAAUAUUUGGGAUUUGGGCAAUGCAUUUUGGAUCUGAAUAUUCCCUAGGUUCUGCCAAGAUAGCACCUAC